AAAUUGAAGAGUUUGAUCAUGGCUCAGAUUGAACGCUGGCGGCAGGCCUAACACAUGCAAGUCGAACGGUAACAGGAAACAGCUUGCUGUUUCGCUGACGAGUGGCGGACGGGUGAGUAAUGUCUGGGAAACUGCCCGAUGGAGGGGGAUAACUACUGGAAACGGUAGCUAAUACCGCAUAACGUCGCAAGACCAAAGAGGGGGACCUUCGGGCCUCUUGCCAUCGGAUGUGCCCAGAUGGGAUUAGCUAGUAGGUGGGGUAACGGCUCACCUAGGCGACGAUC
This 284-nucleotide ribosomal RNA is filed under the name Escherichia coli. Its description in RNAcentral is "partial 16S ribosomal RNA". It matches the Rfam family "Bacterial small subunit ribosomal RNA", at positions 1 to 281 of the family's 1533-position model. Lineage: Bacteria; Pseudomonadati; Pseudomonadota; Gammaproteobacteria; Enterobacterales; Enterobacteriaceae. The record is from RNAcentral.